AGAACAUCUGAACUAUUGCUUUGCAUGACAGGUUAGCAAAGUAUUCCAUUCUGGCUAGCUCCAAUCUUAUGGAGUUCUCCUGACCAAAAUGGUCUAAAAGAUAUAUAUUGUCUUGCUUCUAUAUUUCCUGAUAGUCCCCUCCAUAAUAUCAUUAAGACCUGGGUGGCUAAUUCUUAAAAGAUAGACAUGUAAGCAACCUAUAUUCCUGUAUUAGUGAACAUGCAUGUGCACACGCAUUCUUGCAUGAAUGCAAAAAGUUAUAGCAUUAAAUUUAAAUCCUCAAGCAGUCCAUCUAAACCACACCAUGCCAAACACAAUCUACCUUUAUGUUGAAAAUUCUUG
Molecule: unclassified non-coding RNA, 342 nt
Filed under: Hevea brasiliensis (rubber tree)
Lineage: Eukaryota; Viridiplantae; Streptophyta; Magnoliopsida; Malpighiales; Euphorbiaceae
Source: RNAcentral